Long non-coding RNA from Nematostella vectensis (starlet sea anemone), 1684 nucleotides. RefSeq lists it as uncharacterized. NCBI's taxonomy places the organism in Eukaryota, Metazoa, Cnidaria, Anthozoa, Actiniaria, Edwardsiidae. The record is from RefSeq and is a predicted model, not a curated record. The transcript is spliced from 2 exons.
GCUAAAUUUUAGUGUUAAAUGAUGUAGGAGAUCCGAAAUCAAAGCCCGAGAACUCAGUCGAAUAAUGGGGUCGUCGAUCGAAAGUACCAGGCCAAAAGUCUUAGAGCUCACAGACCCCAGUGACAAGAGUUCAACAGAAGAAGACAACAAGGAGUUUGAGAUGGUUUUUGAGGAAGGCGGAUGCGAGUUUCCGUCAUAUCACUAUCAGAGCGCAUGGCGAACCGAUGGUUGAAGGCUAAUCUGGUGAAAAGGAGACACAGCCAAAGCUUUUUAUAAUACUAUAAAACACUGUGAAAAUACACAAAUGUGAGCUCAGUCUUCUAUGGUGAACUCCAGCCGUAAGGAAGUUGAUUCUGAACUUGUAAAUGGCGAAAGCAUUAAAAAAAACCUUGACAUUACAGAACUACGAUUUAAGAAUGGAAUUGGAAGUGUUGUUUUUUAACGCUGAAUGGGAAACUGAAAGACGAUGACUCAACUAUAGAGGAUCAAGCAGUGUCCUUAUUAAUGGGGUUCUGGAUUGUUUUGCAAGAUCAAGUACUGUCCUUAUUGAUGGGGUUCUGGAUUGUUUUGCAGGAUCAAGCAGUGUCCUUAUUAAUGGGGUUCUGGAUUGUUUUGCAGGAUCAAGCAGUGUCCUUAAACAAGGUACACUUUUUAACAAUUAGACUACAAGUUCGAGUUUUCUAUGAGUCAAUAGAUUGUCACGAGGCGCGUAGCGAGAACGAAUAGACUAAUUGUUUUAGUAUAAAUCCACUCACAUACUACCUUCAAAUAAAUGACGAUUUUAAAAAUAACUAUCAGUAAUAAAUAACACAAACAACAGUAUUUUACAAAAUCAAAACAGCGCGCGCUCGUUUGAAAUGGCGUUUUCUAGUGCGUGCGUGAGCGCAUGCAACCAGUGUUUGCAGCUUGCGCAGAUAAACGAAAAUUGAAAACUUUAGCUUCAAAACCCUGCAGUUACUUUACUUUUAGUGUCGUUUGUAAGGAUGGAAAACACAUUUACUAGGUAAGAUUGUGAACCAAAUUUCUCGAAUUUGAAUCAAGGCUUUUCGUCUCUUUCGCCUCAAGUGUCUUUUUCGCGGGCUAUUUUGCUACUCGCUAUCUAUGACUCAAUAGAUAGUGAGUACGGGAGUCAAUCAAAUUGCGAGAUUCGUGAUAGUAUGUGAGUGGUUUUAUACUAAAUGAGUAUAGUUCCGUACAUAGCAACAGUGCAGUUAAUAGGGGAGUUUCAUCUAAUAUAACAAUACCUCUGUUGGGUGGUCCCAGUUGCUCCACACAAGUGACAAAAGCUUUUGCGGUAUGGGCGACAAACCUAACAACUGAGUAUAGGUUUUACCAGUACUGGAUGCUACAUUCCUAGAGUGUGAAAUCAUACAGCCAUCUAAAUAUUAAUCACAGGUGUCCGAUGUGCUUCCAUUCUGAUACAAAUAAACAUUAUUGGAAAUUUGGUAGUCAUUAGACCCAUUAGCCCUUUGACUGUCCUGUAUCGACCGUGAGAAGUACCCACAAGCAAAAACGCUCAUUAACACAGCAAGACCAAGGUAUAUAGGCAGUAGAUUUAUGGAUAAAUAGUCUUGAUAUGCAUGAAAUAUCAAUAGUCUUGAUAUGCAUGAAAUUAAACCAAGGCAAUAAGAACUAUUGUAUAGCCAAAUAAAAGCUUGGGCUCUUAGGUAGCAUAAUCAUCAUA